This is an RNA transcript of Tripterygium wilfordii, 6167 nucleotides long. It is a transcript of the gene named callose synthase 11-like, with no coding region annotated. The transcript has 3 exons. The record is from RefSeq and is a predicted model, not a curated record. NCBI's taxonomy places the organism in Eukaryota, Viridiplantae, Streptophyta, Magnoliopsida, Celastrales, Celastraceae.
CCGGACGUCUUAAAUUCCUUAAACCCACCGUAAAAAGCCAACUUUCUUUCUCUGUUGUUCGACUCCACUUUUCCACCACGUAGCUUCACGUCUUUUCUUUAGCAGAAGCCGCCGGAAACUGAAGAUGAAAGCAAAAACCUCUAUGACACUAAUGUGUAGAUUGUGAGAGUGGGAACUAGCUAGGGUGAGCGAAGGAAACCGAAGACUGUCUCUGCUGCGAUGAACCUGAGGCAGCGCCCUACUGCCACGCGCGACCCUGGCGUACUCCACGCGCCGCCACCGUUUCAGGAUGUUUACAACAUAAUCCCAAUACACAACCUUUUAACUGACCACCCCUCCCUAAGGUGCCCCGAGGUUCGUGCUGCAGCGGCGGCUCUUCGUACCGUCGGGGAUCUCCGGAAGCCUCCGUUUGUUCAGUGGGACCCGCGGAUGGAUUUGCUGGACUGGCUUGGUGUCUUAUUCGGCUUCCAGAGCGACAACGUACGGAACCAGCGGGAGCACCUUGUUCUCCACCUCGCUAAUUCCCAAAUGCGGCUCGAGGUACCCACGCAGGAUCCUGACACACUCAACGCCAAUGUUCUCCGUCGAUUCCGCCGCAAAUUGCUCCAUAACUACACAUCGUGGUGCUCUUAUCUUGGCCGUAGAUCGCAGGUUUUCUUAUCCGGCCGUCGGGGGAACACUGAUCAGCGCCGCGAGCUUCUAUACGUUUCGCUUUACUUGCUAAUUUGGGGAGAAUCUGGAAACUUGCGGUUCGCGCCGGAACUGAUUUGCUACAUUUAUCACCACAUGGCGAUUGAGCUAAAUCAGGUACUGGAUGAUUAUAUAGAUCGAGACACUGGUAGGCCUUUCUUACCUUCUUUGUCUGGGGACUGCGCGUUUUUGAGAUGUAUAGUAAUGCCAUUUUAUGAUACCAUAAAGACGGAGAUGGAGAGCAGUAGAAAUGGCACUGCACCGCAUUCGGCCUGGAGGAACUAUGAUGAUAUAAACGAGUAUUUUUGGAGCAAGAGGUGUUUAGAAAGAUUGAAAUGGCCUAUCGAUUUUAGCAGUAAUUUCUUCGCUACUGUUAUUAAGAGUAAGCGAGUCGGGAAGACAGGUUUUGUUGAGCAGAGGUCAUUUUGGAAUUUGUUUAGGAGCUUUGACAAGCUCUGGGUUUUGUUGACUCUAGUUUUGCAGGCUUCUCUUAUUGUUGCCUGGGAAGGCACAGAGUAUCCAUGGCAGGCCCUAGAGCGUCGUGAUGUGCAGGUGGAGCUUUUGACUGUUUUCAUGACUUGGGGUGGGCUUAGGUUCUGGCAAUCCGUUCUUGAUGCUGGGACGCAGUAUAGCUUGGUUUCGAGGGAGACUGUGUGGCUUGGCGUUAGAAUGUUAUUGAAAAGCAUGGUUGCAUUGACAUGGACGGUUGUCUUUGGGGUUUUUUAUGGAAAGAUUUGGAGUCAAAAGAAUGCUGAUGGAUAUUGGUCCAAUGAGGCCAAUGAGAGGAUUAUAACUUUUCUUGAAGCAGUCUUGGUGUUUGUUAUACCUGAGUUGUUGGCAUUGGUGCUCUUCGUACUCCCAUGGAUUAGGAAUUUGCUUGAGGAGUUGGAUUGGAGGGUAAUGUACUUGUUGACAUGGUGGUUUCACACACGGAUUUUUGUAGGACGGGGGAUGAGGGAAGGCCUUGUUAAUAAUAUCAAGUAUACAUUGUUCUGGAUUUUGGUAUUGGCUUCAAAGAUUAUAUUCAGUUACUUUUUUCAAAUCAGGCCCCUGGUUGGCCCAACAAGGGCCCUUCUAAAGCUUAAUGGUGCUAGGUACAAUUGGCAUGAGUUUUUUGGUAGCACUAAUGAGAUUGCAGUUAUAUUGUUAUGGCUUCCUGUUGUUCUAGUCUACUUGAUGGAUUUGCAAAUAUGGUAUUCUAUAUUCUCCUCCUUUGUUGGUGCAGUGGUUGGGCUGUUUUCACAUUUGGGUGAAAUUAGGAAUAUCGAACAGCUUAGACUUAGGUUUCAGUUCUUCGCUGGUGCAAUGCAAUUUAAUCUAAUGCCAGAGGACAAUUUGCUAAGUCCAAAGAUGACACUGGUGAAGAAGCUUCGUGAUGCAAUCCAUCGACUGAAAUUGAGAUAUGGACUUGGUCAGCCUUACAAGAAGAUUGAAUCAAGCCAAGUAGAGGCCACCAGGUUUGCCUUAAUAUGGAAUGAGAUAAUCACGACUUUCAGGGAGGAAGACAUUAUCGGUGAUGGAGAGCAAGAACUAAUGGAACUGCCACCAAAUUGUUGGGGCAUUAGGGUAAUUCGUUGGCCAUGCUUCCUCCUUGGCAAUGAGCUGCUGAUCGCACUUAGUCAGGCAACAGAGCUGGCAACUGCGCCUGACCGGUGGCUUUGGUUGAAGAUAUGCAAGAGCGAGUAUAGGCGGUGUGCUAUCAUUGAAGCGUAUGAUAGCAUUAAAUACUUGCUUCUUAAGAUUGUUAAAUAUGACACAGAAGAGCAUUCCAUUGUUGGAAAUUUUUUCUCCGAGUUGGAUAACUACAUCCAUAUUGAAAAAUUCACUGAGGUGUACAAGAUGACCCUGCUGCCACAGAUUCAUUCUAAAGUAGUAUUACUUGUUGAGCUUCUGAUGAAACCAAAGAAGGAUCAUGGUAAAGCAGUGAAUAUUAUGCAGGCCUUAUAUGAACUUUCUGUACGUGAAUUUCCCAGGGUGAAAAAGCCCAUUCUGCAGUUGAUACAGGAAGGUCUGGCCCCUCAACAUCCGUCCACCGAUGCCGGGUUGCUCUUUGAAAAUGCUAUUGAUUUUGGUGAUUCUGGAGAUGAAAUAUUUAAUAGGCGACUACGGCGUUUGCAAACAAUUCUUACUGCAAAAGACUCCAUGCAUAAUGUUCCAAAGAGUCUUGAGGCGAGACGCCGAAUUGCUUUCUUCAGCAACUCACUCUUUAUGAACAUGCCACAUGCUCCUCAUAUUGAGAAGAUGGUGGCAUUCAGUGUUCUGACUCCUUAUUAUGAUGAAGAGGUAUUGUAUGGGAAAGAAAUGCUCCGGAGUGAGAACGAGGAUGGCAUUUCCACCCUGUUUUAUUUGCAGAAAAUCUAUGAAGAUGAGUGGACAAAUUUUCUAGAGCGGAUGCGCAGGGAAGGCAUGGAGCAUGAUGAUGAAAUCUGGACCACAAAGGUGAGGGAUCUACGUCUCUGGGCUUCAUAUAGAGGGCAGACAUUAUCCCGAACUGUGAGGGGUAUGAUGUACUAUUAUAGGGCUCUUAAGAUGCUCGCCUUCCUUGAUUCUGCUUCUGAGAUGGACAUUCGAAUGGGAUAUCAAGAAAUUGCUUCUCAUAAUUCGUUAAAGCAAACCCGUGGUUUGGAUGGCCUAAACUCGAUUAAGCCUCCAUCUUCCCAGAAACUGAGCAGAGCAAGCAGCAAUGUCAGUCUUUUGUUUAAGGGGCAUGAGGAUGGGAGUGCUCUAAUGAAAUUCACAUAUGUGCUCACCUGCCAGGUAUAUGGACAGCAUAAGGCGAAGGGAGAUCGCCGUGCUGAGGAGAUUUUGUUUUUGUUGAAAACCAACAAAGCACUUCGAGUUGCUUAUGUUGAUGAGGUGCUGUUGGGGAGGGGAGAGAUGGAAUAUUAUUCGGUUCUUGUGAAGUACGAUCAGGAGCUGCAAAGGGAGGUUGAAAUUUAUAGGAUCAGGUUGCCUGGUCCCUUGAAACUGGGAGAAGGCAAGCCAGAAAAUCAGAACCAUGCCAUCGUCUUCACUCGCGGUGAUGCGCUGCAGACAAUUGAUAUGAACCAAGACAAUUAUUUUGAGGAGACACUCAAGAUGCGGAAUUUGCUCGAGGAAUUCAAUAACUAUUAUGGCAUUAGGAAGCCUACCAUUCUUGGUGUCCGGGAGAAUAUCUUCACAGGGUCAGUAUCUUCACUGGCUUGGUUCAUGUCUGCUCAGGAAACUAGUUUUGUAACGCUUGGGCAACGUGUUUUGGCUAACCCUUUGAAGGUGCGAAUGCACUAUGGCCACCCGGAUGUGUUUGAUAGAUUCUGGUUCUUACCUCGUGGUGGAAUGAGCAAGGCUUCUCGAGUGAUAAAUAUUAGCGAGGAUAUAUUUGCAGGUUUUAACUGCACUCUGCGAGGUGGCAAUGUGACACACCAUGAGUAUAUUCAGGUGGGUAAGGGAAGGGAUGUUGGGUUGAAUCAAGUCUCCAUGUUUGAGGCCAAGGUCGCCAGCGGCAAUGGGGAGCAGGUUUUGAGUAGAGAUGUAUACAGGUUAGGUCAUAGGUUGGAUUUCUUUCGGAUGCUUUCUUUUUUCUACACAACUGUGGGAUAUUAUUUCAACACUUUGGUCAUAGUAUUAACGGUCUAUGCAUUCUUGUGGGGCCGCCUUUAUCUUGCUCUCAGUGGUGUUGAGGAUGUAGCCAUGAACAAUAGCAGCAGCAAUAAAGCCCUUGGUGCAAUUUUGAAUCAGCAGUUUAUUAUCCAGCUUGGCAUCUUCACUGCCCUCCCAAUGAUUGUGGAGAAUUCCCUUGAGCAUGGGUUUCUUCCAGCGGUUUGGGACUUUCUGAUGAUGCAGUUGCAGCUUGCAUCACUCUUUUACACGUUCUCGAUGGGAACUCGUACCCAUUUCUUUGGUCGGACAAUUCUUCAUGGGGGAGCUAAGUAUCGAGCAACAGGGCGAGGUUUUGUGGUGGAACACAAGAGUUUUGCUGAAAAUUAUAGACUUUAUGCUCGAAGCCAUUUUGUGAAAGCAAUUGAACUGGGGGUUAUUCUAACGGUAUAUGCUUCUCAUAGCCCCUUGAGUAAGAAUACUUUUGUUUACAUACUGAUGACGAUUUCAAGCUGGUUCCUGGUGGUGUCGUGGAUAAUGUCUCCCUUUGUGUUUAAUCCCUCUGGCUUCGAUUGGUUAAAAACUGUUUAUGACUUUAAUGGUUUCAUGAAUUGGAUUUGGUAUAGCGGUGGGGGGCUUGCCAAAGCAGACCAGAGCUGGGAAACGUGGUGGUAUGAGGAACAAGAUCAUCUGAGAACGACUGGUCUUUGGGGGAAACUGUUGGAGAUUAUAUUGGAUCUUCGUUUCUUCUUCUUCCAAUAUGGUGUUGUGUAUCAGUUGAAAAUUUCAGGCGGAAACACCAGUGUAGCUGUUUACUUGCUGUCUUGGAUAUACAUGGUGGUUGCUGUUGGGAUUUAUGUGAUCAUAGGUUAUGCCCGGGACAGAUAUGCUGUUAAGGAGCACAUCUAUUAUCGGCUAGUGCAGCUUCUUGUCAUUCUGGUUACAGUGCUUGUGAUUGUUUUAUUUAUGGAGUUCACCAAGUUCCAGUUUCUUGACCUUGUGACAAGUCUUCUAGCAUUUAUUCCCACUGGUUGGGGCCUUAUAUCUAUUGCUCUGGUGCUAAGACCUUUCCUUCAGACCACUGUGGUAUGGGACACUGUGGUGUCCUUGGCUCGACUCUAUGACUUGCUGUUUGGAGUGAUUGUAAUGGCUCCUGUAGCAUUGCUUUCAUGGCUUCCUGGAUUACAAUCCAUGCAGACUAGGAUUUUAUUCAACGAGGCAUUCAGCAGGGGCCUCAAGAUAUCGCUUAUUCUCACUGGCAAAAAGAUGAAUUGACACAAUUCAAGGUAAAUAACAAUUGUGCACAAGACUUCCGCAAUGGGCAGGUUCAAGGACAUGCAAGAUGUACUUAGACCUUACCCCAUAUAAUAUGUGGAGAGAUUAUUUCCAAGAAUUGAACGUAUGACCUUCUGGUUGCACCUCUGCAACUCUAUCACUGGCCACAUUUCAUCUGUAAAGGUGAGCCUACUGCCUAGAGAGCUAAAAAUGGAUAUAUUGGACUUUUCAGACCGAGGAUGGUUCAUAGCAUACGUUCUGCUCCGGCAACUAAUUAUCAUGAGGACCAAAGCUGCUGAGUUCUGAGAAAGGACGAUUUGGAGUUCAAACCUUUUGAUUGGCUGUCUCUUCUAACAAAAUCUAUUCUCAUUAGGGUGUUGCACAUAAAUUUCCUGUUAGGUGUUCAUUCUAAUUAUUUUGACAGCAAUGGAACACUAUUUCCACCAACAGUUUCAGUCCUUCGCUAGCAGAGAGUUGUAUGUAUAUAUAAACCCGUGCAUAUCUCAGCUGUAUUGAUGUAUGUCAGUUUGAUUAUACACCUCUGUAAUGCUGACCUGCUACCUUCUCGCACUUCAAACCUGAACACCAUGAGUUUGGUCUGGUAUUGCAUCAUUAUCAAGUGCAAA